Molecule: long non-coding RNA, 1059 nt
Organism: Aedes albopictus (Asian tiger mosquito)
Lineage: Eukaryota; Metazoa; Arthropoda; Insecta; Diptera; Culicidae
Exons: 3
Source: RefSeq, a predicted model, not a curated record
UGUGUUUACGUCAUGUUGCCAGCUGUCAUGUUGGUUAAGACAUGUUACUUACGUCGUUGUGAUGACUGAAGUGGCACUUAGGUCAAACAAAUACGUCUUGCAAAAACAGCAGCUGUUUCCCAUGCAAAUAUAGUGCCACAGGCAAAUUUUAGCACACAGGAACUAGAUUAGGAGCAGAAAUGUUGCGAAAUUGGCGUCGUCAUUGGAAAAGGAUGUGUGAUUAUGAUCAAGAAGAUUCACGACGGCCGAGAUCCCUCAUCAACCUGGCACUCACUGAAUCACAUCGAAUCAUUUCCGUUCCGAGUCGGACAGCAUACUACGUAGGAGGAAGUAUACAGCAGGAACGUCAUGUGCCUAAAGCUGCGCAUGUUGCGGUCAGAAAUAAAACAUCAAAGCGAGGUUACAACGCAGCCGUAGGAGUUGGUAUAAGUACAUAGCUCGAGUCUAGGCUCGAGUACCCGUAUGUGGAAAAUACGUGGGUAUUCAUCAAGACCACGGUGAAAGUGACGGCUCCAAUCUCUGCUAGUCUGGGAUGUUUUCGUAAUGGAAAUGGUUUUGACUUCUCGAACAAAACGAUACAAAUUAGGAAUACAAAAAUUGACAAUGCAAGCUCUCAAUUUAAUAACUGUGUAAGUGCUCACAGAAAACAACUAUACUGCCGUGAAUCGCAUAUCAGUCCCAUCUUUGCUGGAUUUCCUAUGCAAAUGGGACAGAUAUGCGAUUCACGGCAGUAUAUGUAGGUACAGUCCGGAUUCGCUGGUUGGGUCACGACUGCACCCCGAUUAGCGAAUCGUGUUCGUUCGUUGGGGCAACUGACAACUGAUCAAAAUGCUCUAGACACACGCAAGUGACGAGAAAUACGUCACGGAACACUCACAUACUUGCGUAAACGUUCUGUAUACAGGAGCUGUGAUGCGACGGCGGUCAGACGUCAAACUCGUUUUGACAUCUAUUUUGACAUUGACAGUGCUUUUUAGUUGGGUUUUGCCCCAACCAGUGAACAUUCAACCAUCGAGACAGCCCAUCUAACGAGCUCUCAACGAACGAAUCGUCACUGUA